RNAcentral lists this ribosomal RNA (492 nucleotides) under uncultured bacterium. Its description in RNAcentral is "bacterial SSU rRNA". It matches the Rfam family "Bacterial small subunit ribosomal RNA", at positions 355 to 846 of the family's 1533-position model. The record is from RNAcentral.
UAAGGAAUAUUGGUCAAUGGACGCAGGUCUGAACCAGCCAUGCCGCGUGAAGGAUGAAGGUCCUCUGGAUUGUAAACUUCUUUUAUAGGGGAAGAAAUCUCUUGAUUCUUCGAGAGUUGACGGUACCCUAGGAAUAAGCACCGGCUAACUCCGUGCCAGCAGCCGCGGUAAUACGGAGGGUGCAAGCGUUAUCCGGAUUCACUGGGUUUAAAGGGUGCGUAGGAGGGCAGGGUAAGUCAGUGGUGAAAUCCCCGAGCUUAACUUGGGAACUGCCGUUGAUACUAUCUGUCUUGAAUAUUGUGGAGGUGAGCGGAAUAUGUCAUGUAGCGGUGAAAUGCUUAGAUAUGACAUAGAACACCAAUUGCGAAGGCAGCUCGCUACACAUAUAUUGACUCUGAGGCACGAAAGCGUGGGGAUCAAACAGGAUUAGAUACCCUGGUAGUCCACGCCCUAAACGAUGGAUACUCGACAUACGCGAUACACUGUGUGUGU